This 468-nucleotide ribosomal RNA is filed under the name uncultured bacterium. RNAcentral describes it as "partial 16S ribosomal RNA". It matches the Rfam family "Bacterial small subunit ribosomal RNA", at positions 28 to 507 of the family's 1533-position model. The record is from RNAcentral.
GACGAACGCUGGCGGCGUGCUUAACACAUGCAAGUCGAACGGAAAGGCCCUGCUUUUGUGGGGUGCUCUAGUGGCGAACGGGUGAGUAACACGUGAGUAACCUGCCCUUGACUUUGGGAUAACUUCAGGAAACUGCGUCUAAUACCGGAUAGGAGCUCCUGCUGCAUGGUGUGGGUUGGAAAGUUUCGGCGGUUGGGGAUGGACUCGCGGCUUAUCAGCUUGUUGGUGGAGUAGUGGCUUACCAAGGCUUUGACGGGUAGCCGGCCUGAGAGGGUGACCGGGCUCAUAGGGACUGAGGUACGGGCCGGAUUCCUACGGGAGGCAGAAGUGGGGAUGAUUGCAGAACGGGAGGAAGCCGGAUGCAGCAACGCCGCGUGCGGGAUGACGGCGUGUUGGUUGAAGACCGCAGUCGCGUGUGACGAAGCGGGAGUGACGGUAAUGGGUAAAAAAGCACCGGCUAACUACGUG